This 751-nucleotide ribosomal RNA is filed under the name Chryseobacterium sp. SBR2. RNAcentral describes it as "bacterial SSU rRNA". It matches the Rfam family "Bacterial small subunit ribosomal RNA", at positions 108 to 861 of the family's 1533-position model. The record is from RNAcentral. Lineage: Bacteria; Pseudomonadati; Bacteroidota; Flavobacteriia; Flavobacteriales; Weeksellaceae.
GCGGAACACGUGUGCAACCUGCCUUUAUCUGGGGGAUAGCCUUUCGAAAGGGAGAUUAAUACCCCAUAAUAUAUUUAUCGGCAUCGAUAGAUAUUGAAAACUCCGGUGGAUAGAGAUGGGCACGCGCAAGAUUAGAUAGUUGGUGAGGUAACGGCUCACCAAGUCUACGAUCUUUAGGGGGCCUGAGAGGGUGAUCCCCCACACUGGUACUGAGACACGGACCACACUCCUACGGGAGGCAGCAGUGAGGAAUAUUGGACAAUGGGUGAGAGCCUGAUCCAGCCAUCCCGCGUGAAGGACGACGGCCCUAUGGGUUGUAAACUUCUUUUGUAUAGGGAUAAACCUACUCUCGUGAGAGUAGCUGAAGGUACUAUACGAAUAAGCACCGGCUAACUCCGUGCCAGCAGCCGCGGUAAUACGGAGGGUGCAAGCGUUAUCCGGAUUUAUUGGGUUUAAAGGGUCCGUAGGCGGAUCUGUAAGUCAGUGGUGAAAUCUCACAGCUUAACUGUGAAACUGCCAUUGAUACUGCAGGUCUUGAGUGUUAUUGAAGUAGCUGGAAUAAGUAGUGUAGCGGUGAAAUGCAUAGAUAUUACUUAGAACACCAAUUGCGAAGGCAGGUUACUAAGCAACAACUGACGCUGAUGGACGAAAGCGUGGGGAGCGAACAGGAUUAGAUACCCUGGUAGUCCACGCCGUAAACGAUGCUAACUCGUUUUUGGGGCUUCGGCUUCAGAGACUAAGCGAAAGUGAU